This 301-nucleotide ribosomal RNA is filed under the name uncultured bacterium. Its description in RNAcentral is "partial 16S ribosomal RNA". It matches the Rfam family "Bacterial small subunit ribosomal RNA", at positions 509 to 807 of the family's 1533-position model. The record is from RNAcentral.
CAGCCGCCGCGGUAAUACGAAGGGUGCAAGCGUUAAUCGGAAUUACUGGGCGUAAAGCGCGCGUAGGUGGUUUGGUAAGAUGGAUGUGAAAUCCCCGGGCUCAACCUGGGAACUGCAUCCAUAACUGCCUGACUAGAGUACGGUAGAGGGUGGUGGAAUUUCCUGUGUAGCGGUGAAAUGCGUAGAUAUAGGAAGGAACACCAGUGGCGAAGGCGACCACCUGGACUGAUACUGACACUGAGGUGCGAAAGCGUGGGGAGCAAACAGGAUUAGAGACCCCGGUAGUCCCUGUCUCUUAUAC